GGGAAUAUAGCUUAGUGGUAGAGUACAUGCUUAACAUGCAUGAAGACUUGUGUUCAAUUCUCAGCACCCUCC
RNAcentral lists this transfer RNA (72 nucleotides) under Heterocephalus glaber (naked mole-rat). It matches the Rfam family "tRNA". From Rfam's summary of the family: Transfer RNA (tRNA) molecules are approximately 80 nucleotides in length. Their secondary structure includes four short double-helical elements and three loops (D, anti-codon, and T loops). Lineage: Eukaryota; Metazoa; Chordata; Mammalia; Rodentia; Bathyergidae. The record is from Rfam by way of RNAcentral.